This 1156-nucleotide ribosomal RNA is filed under the name uncultured bacterium. RNAcentral's name for it is "bacterial SSU rRNA". It matches the Rfam family "Bacterial small subunit ribosomal RNA", at positions 337 to 1502 of the family's 1533-position model. The record is from RNAcentral.
UCCUACGGGAGGCAGCAGUGAGGAAUUUUGGUCAAUGGACGCAAGUCUGAACCAGCCAUGUCGCGUGAAGGAGGACGGCCCUAAGGGUUGUAAACUUCUUUUGCAGUGGAAUAAAGUUUGCCACGUGUUGGCGAUUUGCAAGUACGCUGCGAAUAAGGAUCGGCUAACUCCGUGCCAGCAGCCGCGGUAAUACGGAGGAUCCAGGCGUUAUCCGGAUUUAUUGGGUUUAAAGGGUGCGCAGGCGGGGAAUUAGGUCGGCGGUGAAAUUUCGGGGCUCAACCUCGACAGUGCCGUUGAAACCGUUUCUCUUGAGUGCGGAUGAGGUAGGCGGAAUUUGUGGUGUAGCGGUGAAAUGCGUAGAUAUCACAAGGAACACCGAUUGCGGAGGCAGCUUACUAAACCGUUACUGACGCUCAUGCACGAAGGCGCGGGGAUCAAACAGGAUUAGAUACCCUGGUAGUCCACGCAGUAAACGAUGAUUACUUGCUGUUUGCGAUACACAGUAAGCGGCGUAGCGAAAGCGUUAAGUAAUCCACCUGGGGAGUACGUUCGCAAGAAUGAAACUCAAAGGAAUUGACGGGGGCCCGCACAAGCGGAGGAACAUGUGGUUUAAUUCGAUGAUACGCGAGGAACCUUACCCGGGCUUGAAAUGCAUUCGACGGGGUUGGAAACAGCCUUUCCCUUCGGGGCGGAUGCGUAGGUGCUGCAUGGUUGUCGUCAGCUCGUGCCGUGAGGUGUCGGCUUAAGUGCCAUAACGAGCGCAACCCUCAUCAUUAGUUGCUAACAGGUUAAGCUGAGGACUCUAGUGAGACUGCCAUCGUAAGAUGCGAGGAAGGUGGGGAUGACGUCAAAUCAGCACGGCCCUUAUGUCCGGGGCGACACACGUGUUACAAUGGAUGGUACAACAGGCAGCUACUAGGCGACUAGAUGCUAAUCCCAAAAACCAUUCUCAGUUCGGAUCGAAGUCUGCAACUCGACUUCGUGAAGCUGGAUUCGCUAGUAAUCGCGCAUCAGCCACGGCGCGGUGAAUACGUUCCCGGGCCUUGUACACACCGCCCGUCAAGCCAUGGAAGCUGGGGGUACCUGAAGCACGUAACCGCAAGGAGCGUUCUAGGGUAAAACUGGUAACUGGGGCUAAGUCGUAACAAGGUAACCA